Non-coding RNA from Nicotiana tabacum (common tobacco), 2717 nucleotides. NCBI's taxonomy places the organism in Eukaryota, Viridiplantae, Streptophyta, Magnoliopsida, Solanales, Solanaceae. The record is from RefSeq and is a predicted model, not a curated record.
UCAAACGAUCCAACGGCUAACAUUCCAUCUCCCACUUUAAUCCCACCUAAAACCUAAACCCUAAUUCAUUUACCUAAAAUCGGCCACCCCUAAUUUCUCCUUUGCCUCUCUUUUUUCUCAAACCUAUCAAACCCUAUCGGUCUGAAUCCUUGCACAAAUUUGUGCAAGGUCACUUGAAUCAACCACGAAAUCAUCCAUCUUGUCCCUAUAAUCCGCCAAUCCAGCUGGUUAUGUCCAUUUCCACCAAUAAAUUCAUAAAUCCCAAAUCUGAAAACCCUAGACCUAAAGUGAAAUCUCAAAUCGUCUGCAUCUCCGUUAUGAUCUAUCAAAUCCAUGACAUGCAUGGUUAUUUCUUCCACAUCAUCAUCAUUAUUCUUUGUCUAGAGGUCAAACGUAGUGACCUAUGGACUGGUAUUUUGUCAGAUGAUUUCUAAUCUUCAACGGCCAUCCUACAUGCCCAGUUUUGUUGCUGUCUGAGCUCAAGUUUGGAUUUUUAAAUGACUAAACAAAUGGUUUUCGUUUGCUUUGCUACUCCGUAGAAGGUCAGUGUACACUGACCCUCCCUUUCUUUGAUUAUUCGUAUUGUUUGUGCUUACCAUCCAUGUUUCUGUUGAUUACUCUCAUCUAUGAUAUGUGUUAUUAUGUUUGCAAUUGAUUAUCAUGUAUUGAACUUAUGUGUAACUCUCAGUGUUGGAACUAAUGGAUUCCUGAUAAUUUGCGACUAUUCAAUGUUAGCUGGUUAUUCUGUAUUAAUGUAUGAACUUCAUCAAAUAAAUAUUUUUCCUAAAAUGAAUAACUUAAGUCCUCUUGUACUUUCUGCAGUAUCUAAGAGACUGUGAUAAUUUUAUGUGUAUUUUAUAAACUGAACUAUUACAUUAGUUAGUCUAACUCAAGCUGUGCUUUUCCUUGAUGUCUUGUUAAAAGUUAUAUCUGCCACAUAUGUGUUAUACUGUUUCUUGGGCUAGCAAUGCUAUAUAAUUAGAUAACAUACAUCCAAAACUGAUCUCCAUCAUGUUAUUCAUGUUAUACACACUUAACUUGUCUGCUUGGGCUCAUUUAUCUACCACUGAAACCAUGUUUAUUCUAUAUAUUUAUACCCACAUGUUCUUGUGAUUCAAACCUCUGUAAUGAACUCACUAGACUGGUUUUUAAGUCAUCUUCUCAUCUGAUAUACUCUGUAAUCUUGUGGUCUUUUACAAACAUCAUUGUGUACAUGUUUGAGUAUCUUCUGUUAGAUUCUACACUUAUGUGUUUUGUUCAUGGACUUCAUGUUUGCCUUUUCAUUUAAGAGAUAUUCAUGCUUGAGCUAUUAUACUCUUCACUUGAAACUAUACUAUCAUAUGAACCUAAGGGAAAUUUAUUAAUCCAUGUUUGUCCAGUCUAAAGGGUUGUGGUCCUAUACGUGGUUGAUAUUUUUGGUUGUAAAGGUUUAACUGUGUGUUUGAACAUUUUCUAGGAACAUGAUUAACUAGAAACCAUAUUGUGAAGUCUAAGUCAGAUUAAAUUUGACUCUGUGGGAGCACUUCUGUUGUUUAAUUUCAUCUCUCAGGAAUCUGAUUAAGGUUGAUUAUUCUACAUGUGUGAAGGAAUUUUGGAUUGUUCUGAGUACAGUCUAAAUAAUUGUUAGUGCAUUAUGAACUUAAUUAAGGACCUACCACCAUAAUCAGUAAAUUUAGCAUGCAUAUCUCUCUCACCCCCUCCCCAAGGAUCACUUCACCCAGAAUUUUAUUUAAACUUGUAAUAGUCUACUGUUGUUUGCUCCGAAGCUCUCCCUAUUCUGCAACUAUGAUCAGUCUCCUUGAAUGUUCUAAUACAUAUUAUAAAUGAAUGACAAAAUGUCCUUGGACAUUGUUAGUACCUGUAAAACUUAACCUUUACCUUCUGGGCUCUAAUUCUAAUGCUAAUGGUGUAAUUCAAAAGGUGUUCAUGUUUCUGUAUUUUGAUGAUAUCUUUGUGUCUUUUGGACUUCCUGUGUACUUGAACGUUUGUGCCUAUUCCUACUUUCAUGUUGAUUGUUAAGACCUCGUUUGUAUCUAAACCUUUGGGGAAGAGUGAGUGUGAGUGAUUAAGGGUAUUUGGGAUGGGACUUAGUUUAUGAUUAAGGUGUCGAUCCCUAACACAAGUAUUGCUCGGGGUCCUUGAGACCCUUGUGAACUCUGAAGAGCCAGGGAUUCCAAUGGUACCUUAUUCAUGAAUAAGGUCUUGUCUUAAUCUCUUAAUCUUUGACUCUCAUUAAUCCUCCUAGGAUUAAUACAAAUAAAGGUUGAUCUUCACCCAAACAAUGUCUACUUGUUACAUCUUUGUCUUAUUUGGCCACAUGUUCGCUUUACUGUACUCUUAAUCUCAUUUAUAUGUUACAACUUAUUUAUUGGUCCUCAUGUGGCAUCACUAAUGGUUUCUAUACAUCUUUGUAUGCAUGUUCGAAUUUGGGCCGCUGAGUUCUUUAGAAGUCAGUCCCAAGUUCUAGCCCAGGGUCCAUGUUGUUAUAAUCUGUCGCUACUGCAUUUUGAAGUUUGUUGAUCCUGCACUCCCUUUGGCACAAUUUUGAGUCCAGUCCCUUUCCUCUCUCACUCUUAAAAUAAAAACGAACUUGUUAUUUAAUCUUUGUAUAUGUUAUGAUACUAACACUAAUAUUGAAUGUUCCAUUUAUGCCUUAAUCAUUUUUAGGAACCUAGGCAAAACCAAGCUCAUAGAUAAAUAAAAGAGAAUUUGAGUUU